CGUGGGUAACCUGCCCAAGAGAUCGGGAUAACACCUGGAAACAGAUGCUAAUACCGGAUAACAACAGAUGAUGCCUAUCAACUGUUUAAAAGAUGGUUCUGCUAUCACUCUUGGAUGGACCUGCGGUGCAUUAGCUAGUUGGUAGGGUAACGGCCUACCAAGGCGAUGAUGCAUAGCCAGUUGAGAGACUGAUCGGCCACAUUGGGACUGAGACACGGCCCAAACUCCUACGGGAGGCAGCAGGAC
This 246-nucleotide ribosomal RNA is filed under the name uncultured Lactobacillus sp. RNAcentral describes it as "partial 16S ribosomal RNA". It matches the Rfam family "Bacterial small subunit ribosomal RNA", at positions 116 to 354 of the family's 1533-position model. The record is from RNAcentral. Lineage: Bacteria; Bacillati; Bacillota; Bacilli; Lactobacillales; Lactobacillaceae.